GGCUCAGAAUAUGCAGUAGACUGUCAAUUGCAUCGAGAAGUAAAUUUCGGAGUUGCAUCCUAGAAAGUAAGAGUUCGUAACCCUAUAUUUUCUUAGUCAGUUGGGGGCCCACGUGUCACUGUAAAAGUAAUUUUAUUCUUCAGUUAUUUAAUUUAAAAUAUGUAUGAAUAUAUUUAGCUUUUACACCAUGUUUUUGGCGAGUUUCGGUAUUUUCGAAGAAAAAUGACGAAAAUGCCUCUGUGAGCUAGAAAGUAAUAUUUUAUUAUUUUAAUUUGGAAAUGACUUAUGAUUUUUUUUGAAAUGUGAGAUUUAAUAACUGUCGCUCAUUGGAGAGAUGCAGAAGCUGAUGCUAAGCCUUGCGGGGUUUCGAUCGGCAUUCGGGGUAAUGAGUGCCUAUCGAGACGUCGCGGCGGUUGUCACGGGCUCGAUGAGAGUUCCGGGUCGUGACAAUAGAUGUCUUCGUGUCAUCACUCCAUUGUCCAUUCCCCUAUUUAUGUCGCACAUAUGUUUUGUUUUUAUUCUGUUGGUACACACUCCUUAUAGCUAAGGUUAGGUUUGGCAUAUGUUAUAAAUAUACAUGUGGUGUAAUUAUGCAUGAUAUGCAUAGAAUUGAGCACAUGGAUUGUGCGAAUGGAAAUGUCGAUGGGGACAUGAUGGAUAUUGAUGAAACGCAAACAUGAGAUGGAUGUUAUGAACUAUACGUGUGUGUUGAGCUGUAUGCUCAUUAUAUAAGUAUAUGAGUUGUGUUAAAGUUGUCUAUGUUAAGGAGACUUGUUUGGAUUUAAUGGAUCUUACUUACAUAGGGAAUUUGGAUCGUGACUACAAG
This 826-nucleotide long non-coding RNA is filed under the name Theobroma cacao (cacao). RNAcentral describes it as "long non-coding RNA (TCAC_LNC002611)". The record is from RNAcentral. Lineage: Eukaryota; Viridiplantae; Streptophyta; Magnoliopsida; Malvales; Malvaceae.